This 1472-nucleotide ribosomal RNA is filed under the name Klebsiella sp. RNAcentral's name for it is "bacterial SSU rRNA". It matches the Rfam family "Bacterial small subunit ribosomal RNA". Lineage: Bacteria; Pseudomonadati; Pseudomonadota; Gammaproteobacteria; Enterobacterales; Enterobacteriaceae. The record is from RNAcentral.
UGGCUCAGAUUGAACGCUGGCGGCAGGCCUAACACAUGCAAGUCGAGCGGUAGCACAGAGAGCUUGCUCUCGGGUGACGAGCGGCGGACGGGUGAGUAAUGUCUGGGAAACUGCCUGAUGGAGGGGGAUAACUACUGGAAACGGUAGCUAAUACCGCAUAAUGUCGCAAGACCAAAGUGGGGGACCUUCGGGCCUCAUGCCAUCAGAUGUGCCCAGAUGGGAUUAGCUAGUAGGUGGGGUAACGGCUCACCUAGGCGACGAUCCCUAGCUGGUCUGAGAGGAUGACCAGCCACACUGGAACUGAGACACGGUCCAGACUCCUACGGGAGGCAGCAGUGGGGAAUAUUGCACAAUGGGCGCAAGCCUGAUGCAGCCAUGCCGCGUGUGUGAAGAAGGCCUUCGGGUUGUAAAGCACUUUCAGCGGGGAGGAAGGCGAUAAGGUUAAUAACCUUGUCGAUUGACGUUACCCGCAGAAGAAGCACCGGCUAACUCCGUGCCAGCAGCCGCGGUAAUACGGAGGGUGCAAGCGUUAAUCGGAAUUACUGGGCGUAAAGCGCACGCAGGCGGUCUGUCAAGUCGGAUGUGAAAUCCCCGGGCUCAACCUGGGAACUGCAUUCGAAACUGGCAGGCUAGAGUCUUGUAGAGGGGGGUAGAAUUCCAGGUGUAGCGGUGAAAUGCGUAGAGAUCUGGAGGAAUACCGGUGGCGAAGGCGGCCCCCUGGACAAAGACUGACGCUCAGGUGCGAAAGCGUGGGGAGCAAACAGGAUUAGAUACCCUGGUAGUCCACGCCGUAAACGAUGUCGAUUUGGAGGUUGUGCCCUUGAGGCGUGGCUUCCGGAGCUAACGCGUUAAAUCGACCGCCUGGGGAGUACGGCCGCAAGGUUAAAACUCAAAUGAAUUGACGGGGGCCCGCACAAGCGGUGGAGCAUGUGGUUUAAUUCGAUGCAACGCGAAGAACCUUACCUGGUCUUGACAUCCACAGAACUUNNCAGAGAUGCAUUGGUGCCUUCGGGAACUGUGAGACAGGUGCUGCAUGGCUGUCGUCAGCUCGUGUUGUGAAAUGUUGGGUUAAGUCCCGCAACGAGCGCAACCCUUAUCCUUUGUUGCCAGCGGUCCGGCCGGGAACUCAAAGGAGACUGCCAGUGAUAAACUGGAGGAAGGUGGGGAUGACGUCAAGUCAUCAUGGCCCUUACGACCAGGGCUACACACGUGCUACAAUGGCAUAUACAAAGAGAAGCGACCUCGCGAGAGCAAGCGGACCUCAUAAAGUAUGUCGUAGUCCGGAUUGGAGUCUGCAACUCGACUCCAUGAAGUCGGAAUCGCUAGUAAUCGUAGAUCAGAAUGCUACGGUGAAUACGUUCCCGGGCCUUGUACACACCGCCCGUCACACCAUGGGAGUGGGUUGCAAAAGAAGUAGGUAGCUUAACCUUCGGGAGGGCGCUUACCACUUUGUGAUUCAUGACUGGGGUGAA